UACUUCAGUGACAUGACAUCUGAGAAUGGAACUGGCGUCACAGUCAUCAGACACGACUCGGAGGAGCAGGAAGAAGUCGUGGGCUACGAAGGAGCUGGCGAAUAUGUUCUGAGACUUAACUACAACGUCUCCCUCGACCACGCCAUCGCCAUCAUCGAUGCCAGUGAGAACUGCCGACAGUUUGUACAAUGGAAGUGCAAGGCCGCCUUGAUUCACAACCCCAAUGCCAAUGGUGUCAUCACUACCGGGUGGCGCAACAGGACUGGCGGAAUUGCAGACUACUUUGGUGAUGCCACUCCCGGAAGUGGUAUGUGUACCUGUGGCAUGACUGGGUCAUGUGCAGACCCGACAAGGCAUGCAACUGCGACAAGAACGACGAAGUCUGGAGGGAAGACUCCGGCUACCUGUCCUACAAGCCGGACCUGCCUGUCACUGAGUUCCUGGCGGGGGACACAGGUGGAAUGAUGGAGGGAGGAUAUAAAACAAUCGGACCUUUGUUCUGUUGGGGCGUACUUACCUAGACACCGGCUGUCAGUUUCCCAGCCAAUCAGCGAUCAGAAGACUCAGAAAACAUCACGUGACAUAACCUCGGACCGCUCAUAAUCUAGGCUACAAUAACAAAACACAUGAUCACAAUCACUUCUAGGUAAUGGGCGCUCCGAGGCAUAGUCACGUGGUGUCAAAAUUUUUGUAUGAUUAAAUUUUAGAAUUUGUAUCAAAAUCACAAGAAAUUUGUGUAUGUAUUUUCGGUUAGGACAGCACGUGUAGUCUGUAAAAGCUAUUUCAGAUACGAUAUUGGUGAGUAUCUAGAUGCGUUCAGAAUAGUUCUAGGCGCUGUAGGUCUGAUACAAAUAUGCCCUAUUUCUUAGACUCCCUCAUACAAUGUUGCUUUUUUCGAUAUCCUCAGGCGGCGAUGACGAGGCCGGAUACGCAACAGUUGGCAGAAUUCUUUGCACAGGCGUUGCAACCUGACAUGCGCAGGUGACGACGGAACCGAGGCGGGCGCCUUUAAGGUCGGCCCUGUGGAAUGCUACGGGACUUCCUCCGCGGAUGUCAGCGAUACCUAAUCGACCAUUCUUGAUCUGUUUCUCUCUUUCUUCGCAGCUGAUGCUCUUUGCUACAUUUGAGUUAAAACUGUUUUCUUAACUAGGUCUUAUUUUGUUCCCUUUACGUGCUAUUAAUUUGGAAUGGAGACUGUCCAGUUGAUAGGGAGCUUAUGGUGUAAGAUAUGGAGUCUGCUUCUUGCAGAGCGGAAAGGAUUGCAGUUUGCAAGACGAGAGAUUCCAUAUGUUGUUGAAACAUGUUGACUGUUGAUGUUAUUUUUGUUACUGUAAACUUUGUCUAUCUAAAUAUAUCGAUGUUGCAAAGU
RNA transcript from Haliotis rubra (blacklip abalone), 1369 nucleotides. It is a transcript of the gene named contactin-associated protein-like 2, with no coding region annotated. NCBI's taxonomy places the organism in Eukaryota, Metazoa, Mollusca, Gastropoda, Lepetellida, Haliotidae. The transcript has 4 exons. The record is from RefSeq and is a predicted model, not a curated record.